CCUACGGGAGGCAGCAGUGAGGAAUAUUGGUCAAUGGGCGGAAGCCUGAACCAGCCAAGCAGCGUGCAGGAUGACGGCUCUCCGGAUUGUAAACUGCUUUUAUACGGGAAUAACGCGCCUUACGUGUAGGGCUUUGCAUCUACCGUAUGAGUCAGGACAGCCUAAUUCCGUGCCAGCAGCCGCGGUAAUACGGAGGGUCCGGGCGUUAUACGGAUUUAUGGGGGUUGAAGGGAGCGUAGGCCGCAGGCCAAGCGUGCGGUGAAAGGUCCGGGCUCAACCCGGGCCGUGCAGCGGGAACUGGUGUGCUUGAGUGCGCGGAAGGCAGGCGGAAUUCGUCGUGUAGCGGUGAAAUGCUUAGAUAUGACGAAGAACCCCGAUGGCGAAGGCAGCUUGCUGCAGCGGAACUGACGCUGAUGCUCGAAAGCGCGGGGAUCGAACAGGAUUAGAUACCCGAGUAGUC
Molecule: ribosomal RNA, 460 nt
Filed under: uncultured bacterium
Lineage: Bacteria
Description: partial 16S ribosomal RNA
Rfam family: Bacterial small subunit ribosomal RNA
Source: RNAcentral